RNAcentral lists this long non-coding RNA (256 nucleotides) under Marmota monax (woodchuck). Lineage: Eukaryota; Metazoa; Chordata; Mammalia; Rodentia; Sciuridae. The record is from RNAcentral.
UACAAUAUACAUAAUUGACUCUUUUUCCCCUUUUUUCUAAGGAUGAAUUCAGAAUGUGGUUUUGUGCAAAAAUUCGUUUUCUUUCUCUGGAAAAUCAUCCAUUUUCAAAUCCAAAAUCUGUAACUGAUAAGAUUUCAAAUGGCCAUGCAGUUCAUUUAACUGAGAAUCCUGUUGAAGAGAAUAGUCAUGAGAUGAGUAAAUAUUCACAGACUCAAACACAACAGGUACUGUGAUCUAGUGUCCAAAUUUCUUUAUA